AGAGGUAUAGCUCAGUGGUAGAGCGUGCGCUUAGCAUGCACGAGGUCCUAGGCUCAAUUCCCCAUACCUCCA
RNAcentral lists this transfer RNA (72 nucleotides) under Camelus bactrianus (Bactrian camel). It matches the Rfam family "tRNA". Rfam says of the family: Transfer RNA (tRNA) molecules are approximately 80 nucleotides in length. The record is from Rfam by way of RNAcentral. Lineage: Eukaryota; Metazoa; Chordata; Mammalia; Artiodactyla; Camelidae. RNAcentral also lists the same sequence under 2 other names.